Molecule: ribosomal RNA, 429 nt
Filed under: Bacteroidota bacterium
Lineage: Bacteria; Pseudomonadati; Bacteroidota
Description: Bacteroidetes bacterium partial 16S ribosomal RNA
Rfam family: Bacterial small subunit ribosomal RNA
Source: RNAcentral
UAGGGAAUCUUCCGCAAUGGACGCAAGUCUGACGGGGCAACGCCGCGUGAGUGAAGAAGGAUUUCGGUUCGUAAAACUCUGUUGUUAGAGAAGAACAGCGCAUAGAGUAACUGUUAUGCGUGUGACGGUAUCUAACCAGAAAGCCACGGCUAACUACGUGCCAGCAGCCGCGGUAAUACGUAGGUGGCAAGCGUUGUCCGGAUUUAUUGGGCGUAAAGCGAGCGCAGGCGGUCAAUUAAGUCUGAUGUGAAAGCCCCCGGCUCAACCGGGGAGGGUCAUUGGAAACUGGUUGACUUGAGUGCAGAAGAGGAGAGUGGAAUUCCAUGUGUAGCGGUGAAAUGCGUAGAUAUAUGGAGGAACACCGGUGGCGAAAGCGGCUCUCUGGUCUGUAACUGACGCUGAGGCUCGAAAGCGUGGGGAGCGAACAGG